GAUGAAGAACGUAGUGAAAUGCGAUAAGUAAUGCGAAUUGCAGAAUUCAGUGAGUCAUCGAAUCUUUGAACGCACAUUGCGCCCGCCAGCACUCUGGCGGGCAUGCCUGUCCGAGCGUCAUUUCAACCCUCGCGCCGUCCCUCCAGGGGGCUCGGCGCGGUGUUGGGGGACACGGCCCCGGCCGCCCCCGAAAUGCAGUGGCGACCCCGCCGCGGCCCCUCCAGCGCAGUAAGCACGCUCGCUACGGGAGGCCCGGUGGACGCGUCCGCCGUAAAACGCCCAACUCUUCAGAAGUUGACCUCGGAUCAGGUAGGGAUACCCGCUGAACUUAAGCAUAUCAAUAAGCGGAGGA
RNAcentral lists this unclassified non-coding RNA (352 nucleotides) under soil metagenome. Its description in RNAcentral is "partial contains 5.8S ribosomal RNA, internal transcribed spacer 2, and large subunit ribosomal RNA". The stretch from base 1 to 120 matches the Rfam family "5.8S ribosomal RNA", at positions 35 to 154 of the family's 154-position model. The record is from RNAcentral.